Molecule: RNA transcript, 2000 nt
Organism: Manihot esculenta (cassava)
Lineage: Eukaryota; Viridiplantae; Streptophyta; Magnoliopsida; Malpighiales; Euphorbiaceae
Gene name: bifunctional nuclease
Exons: 10
Source: RefSeq, a predicted model, not a curated record
UAAUUAAUUAAUUAAUCGGAGAACAGAACGCAGCACACCGGAUUUUAUCAUUCCCAUUUGUCUCGAAAUCCAACUGCCUGUUCGUCUCCUUUUAGCUCAGCUCAUCUUGCCCUUUAACCUUAACCAUAGUACCUUACCUUCUCUCCCUCUGUCGUCUUCUGAGACAUAGUAAUGAUGCUUAGGGCUCAAUUCCGAGUUCGUACAAUGGAUGGUUUCAGGGUUUUAAGGGAUGAAAGGAAUGCGAGAGGUUUGAUCCCGAAUUUAGGUGGGUGUUUUUCGAUUCAUUUCGGGUUCAAAAGAAGCCUAAGGUUACAGUGUCGCGGUGGUCGUAAAUCAAUCCUCAUCUAUUGUAAGUCUUCUCGUGGAAACUCUUCCAAUGGUGGUGGACAAUCUACCAAUGCCUACGAUGACCACGAUCACGACUUUCUCCAAGCUUCCGUUCUCAUUUCAGAAACUCUCUUACACUAUCGUAUGCUAAGGCAGGGAUUUCAAGAAGACAUGAGAUGGCGAUUACCUGGUAGAUGGAACCCGUUUGAUGUGCUGUCACAGGAAUCAAGACCUGAUAUGAGCUUUAUUGGAUACGAGUUUCUUCGUCGCUUCCAAAGUCCCACUAUUUUUCUUAAAGUUUCUUGUGAUGGAGACUUCUUGCUACCAAUUAUCGUUGGUGCGUCAAUAGGGGAAUUUGCCAUUGAGAAACUUAUAGAUAAUUUUCGGGAAGGUGAUCAUAAUGGGGAUUGUCCAGACCAGUUUCAGCUUGUGAGCAAUCUGGUGGAAAAACUUGGUUAUGAAGUAAAAAUGGUGAGAAUUACUGAGAGAGUGGUUAAUACUUACUUUGCAAGAGUAUAUUUUAGCAAGCUUGGGGAAAAUGAAAUUCUAAGCAUAGAUAUGCGGCCUUCUGAUGCCAUUAAUGUGGCAAACAAAUGCAAGGCCCCAAUUCAUGUAAGUAAACAAAUUGUCUUCACGGAUGCAAUAAGAAUUAGCUAUGGGAUGGGAAGAGUGCAUGAUAGGAAGACUACUUAUGAUGUCUCCCUUGACAGUCCUGCCGAUGGUCCAGAUUCAUUAUCUGAGGAACUUGACAUCGUGAAGAAUAUGAAUUUAGCUAUCCAAGAGGAAAGAUAUGGUGAUGCAGUCUUGUAGCCAUGUGGAGAGACAAACUGAUGGAGCUUCGCCAAUCAAGUCAUGAACAGUAGCUAUCUUUUAGGUCUUGAUGUAUUAGGAGUGUGCACUUUUGGCGUCUGGUUUCUUGCGAGUUCAUGGCUCUUCAUAUGUGCUCAGUCUAGACGUAGUUUCUAAUAAAAUGUUUGGCAUUGCAUUUCCAUAUGCUCAUGCAAGUGAGGAGGACAGUUUGAGGAACUCAUGAAUGGUCAAAGAAACUCAAACUCAAAAUAGUGGUACGUAAAGCUCAAACUUGCUUCAAGAACUGAGAUACUUGACGUGUAAAUUAGUAUCUACUGAUCCCUUGGAUUGUUCAAAAUCACAAAGAUGAUCAAUUCUCUCAUGGACCUGGAUUUUGUUGCUUCAAUUAGGAAGUAACAUCGAGAUAUAAAAUGUGUGCUGAUCAAGAAAGAAUGUAUCAACUUCCUUGUUAAUUCUGGUGACACUGACGCCAAAGGCUUCUUUGUUUAGAAGUCUUUCUACAAUGAAUAAGGUGAACCCAGCUGGUACAAUAUGACAAGAGUUUACGACUCUCUGUUAGGUUUUCUCUAUAUUCAUACUUUGCAGGAUACAUAAAAUUCCUGAGAGCUACCACUUGCGUCAUUCUGAUGUUUGCUGGCACUAACAUUCUCCUUCAAAAGAUUCAUAAAAAAAAUAUAUCAGAGGCCUCUUUAGUUUGACAAAAUUGUCAAGGAAGUGACAACGCCUUGAACAUUCGCCAAGAUUUAAUAUUUUACAAAUUGUCAUUGCUAAGAUUGAUGUAUUAUAGCGUGCUUGAAAUGUGAAUAUACUUGUGUACAGUUGUGGACUCAAAUUAAAUAUGAAAACUAAAACUUUUCUCGUUU